Molecule: long non-coding RNA, 317 nt
Filed under: Elaeis guineensis (African oil palm)
Lineage: Eukaryota; Viridiplantae; Streptophyta; Magnoliopsida; Arecales; Arecaceae
Description: long non-coding RNA (EGUI_LNC076847)
Source: RNAcentral
CCCGAGCAUUGUUUUCGUUCUAAAAGAACUCACACUGGACUCCUCUCUCGUUUGCUCUAUAGCUCGAUCGCAUCCCGACUGAUCGGGGCAUUGACUUCUGAAUAAGCUAAUCCAAUCGAUUCGCUCACCUCCGCCCUAUCCGAAGCUCCCGCUUUCCGUAACUGGUCAGCAUCCUACUAACUCAAGGGAUCCUGUCAGUCACUGACUUAUCUUUCAACUCGUUGCUGAUUUCGUUUCUAGGAUGGGUUUGGCUCUGCCUGUAGCUAUUCUUGUAGCCGUUAGGGCUGGCCGAAUGAUCCAUCAAAUGAAUAGCCCGU